Molecule: ribosomal RNA, 506 nt
Filed under: uncultured bacterium
Lineage: Bacteria
Description: partial 16S ribosomal RNA
Rfam family: Bacterial small subunit ribosomal RNA
Source: RNAcentral
GAUGAACGCUAGCGGCAGGCCUAACACAUGCAAGUCGAGGGGCAGCACAUAAAGUGGUCUACUACUUUUGGUGGCGACCGGCGGACGGGUGCGUAACGCGUAUGCAACCUGCCUCCAACAGGGGGAUAACGGAGAGAAAUUUCCACUAAUACCCCAUAAUAUCAGAAUCGGCAUCGGUUUUGGUUGAAAACUCCGGUGGUUGGAGAUGGGCAUGCGUUGUAGUAGAUAGUUGGUGAGGUAACGGCUCACCAAGUCGACGAUACAUAGGGGGACUGAGAGGUUAGCCCCCCACACGGGUACUGAGACACGGACCAGACUCCUACGGGAGGCAGCAGUGGGGAAUAUUGGUCAAUGGGGGCAACCCUGAACCAGCCAUGCCGCGUGCAGGAAGACGGCUCUAUGAGUUGUAAACUGCUUUUACAAGGGGAUAAAUCGGUGUACGUGUACACCGUUGAAGGUACCUUGGGAAUAAGGAUCGGCUAACUCCGUGCCAGCCGCCGCGGUAA